ACCUAAUAGAUACCCUGGUAGUCCACGCCCUAAACGAUGCGAACUGGAUGUUGGGUACAUUACGGUACUCAGUGUCGAAAGCUAAACGCGUUAAGUUCGCCGCCUGGGGAGUACGGUCGCAAGACUGAAACUCAAAGGAAUUGACGGGGGCCCGCACAAGCGGUGGAGUAUGUGGUUUAAUUCGAUGCAACGCGAAGAACCUUACCUGGCCUUGACAUCUGUCGAAUCCUGCAGAGAUGCGGGAGUGCCGCAAGGAACGACAAGACAGGUGCUGCAUGGCUGUCGUCAGCUCGUGUCGUAAGAUGUUGGGUUAAGUCCCGCAACGAGCGCAACCCUUGUCCCUAGUUGCCAGCACAUCAUGGUGGGAACUCUAGGGAGACUGCCGGUGAUAAACCGGAGGAAGGUGGGGAUGACGUCAAGUCCUCAU
RNAcentral lists this ribosomal RNA (427 nucleotides) under uncultured bacterium. RNAcentral's name for it is "bacterial SSU rRNA". It matches the Rfam family "Bacterial small subunit ribosomal RNA", at positions 771 to 1196 of the family's 1533-position model. The record is from RNAcentral.